UAGAUGCGAGAGUAGAGCAUAUCAAUAAGCGGAGGAAAAGAAACUAACAAGGAUUCCCUUAGUAACGGCGAGUGAAGCGGGAAGAGCUCAAAUUUGAAAUCUUCAAGGUUCUACCUUGACGAAUUGUAGUUUAUAGAAGUGUUUUCUGUUAGUGGAGUGGCAAAAGUUCUUUGGAAUAGGACAUCAUAGAGGGUGAGAAUCCCGUAUUUGGUCAUUCCUCCUAGCGUUGUGAUACACUUUCAACGAGUCGGAUUGUUUGGGAAUGCAGUCCAAAAUGGGUGGUAAAUUUCAUCUAAAGCUAAAUAUUGGCGAGAGACCGAUAGCGAACAAGUACCGUGAGGGAAAGAUGAAAAGAACUUUGAAAAGAGAGUUAAACAGUACGUGAAAUUGUCAAAAGGGAAGCGUUUGACACCAGUGUUGUUUUUUCCGAAAAUCAAUUACGAAUGUUUUAUUUUUGAGGAGUUAUGACUUCAUCGGCUUGCUUCCUCUCUUUAUCGGAACUUUCUUAAUGCACCUUUCGGUUAACAAGUCAACAUCAAUUUCUUUUGUUGUAAAAGAGUAUGAGGAAGGUGGCUUCCUUUUCGGAGAAAGUGUUUAUAGCCUUGUGCCUCUGCAAUCGGAGAGAUUGAGGUCUGCAGCGUAGACUCUUCGGGGUUAGAUACAUUUGUGCUAAGUUAUAGCUUUUCAUAGACAACUUGUUGACUAUGUUAAGUCUUGUAGCUUACUCGCUUAUGCUAUUUUACCUACGCUUAGGAUGUUGACGAGACUGUCGAUCUC
This 777-nucleotide ribosomal RNA is filed under the name uncultured Neocallimastigales. Its description in RNAcentral is "partial large subunit ribosomal RNA". It matches the Rfam family "Eukaryotic large subunit ribosomal RNA", at positions 22 to 647 of the family's 3401-position model. The record is from RNAcentral. Lineage: Eukaryota; Fungi; Neocallimastigomycota; Neocallimastigomycetes; Neocallimastigales.